RNAcentral lists this transfer RNA (77 nucleotides) under Candidatus Odinarchaeum yellowstonii. RNAcentral describes it as "tRNA-Lys". It matches the Rfam family "tRNA". From Rfam's summary of the family: Transfer RNA (tRNA) molecules are approximately 80 nucleotides in length. Their secondary structure includes four short double-helical elements and three loops (D, anti-codon, and T loops). Lineage: Archaea; Promethearchaeati; Candidatus Odinarchaeota; Candidatus Odinarchaeia; Candidatus Odinarchaeales; Candidatus Odinarchaeaceae. The record is from RNAcentral. RNAcentral also lists the same sequence under 1 other name.
GGGCCCGUAGCUCAGCCAGGUAGAGCACCGGGCUUUUAACUCGGUGGUCAAGGGUUCGAUUCCCUUCGGGCCCGCCA